ACGACGCUGGCGGCGUGCUUAACACAUGCAAGUGGAGCGACGAACCGGGGCUUGCCCCGGGGCAGAGCCGCGAACGGGUGAGUAACACGUGGGUAACCUGCCUCAAUGAUUGGGACAACCCGGGGAAACUCGGGCUAAUACCAAAUGUGUUCACUCCUUCUAAGGGGAGUGAGGAAAGGAAGCUUCGGCCUCCGCAUUGAGAUGGGCCCGCGGCCCAUUAGCUUGUUGGUGAGGUAACGGCUCACCAAGGCUUCGAUGGGUAGCUGGUCUGAGAGGACGAUCAGCCACACUGGGACUGAGACACGGCCCAGACUCCUACGGGAGGCAGCAGUGGGGAAUCUUGCACAAUGCGCGAAAGCGUGAUGCAGCAACGCCGCGUGGGGGAAGACGGCCUUCGGGUUGUAAACCCCUUUCAGUUGGGACGAAGCUUCGUCGGUGAAUAGCCGGUUGGAGUGACGGUACCUUCAGAAGAAGCCCCGGCUAACUACGUG
This 491-nucleotide ribosomal RNA is filed under the name uncultured bacterium. Its description in RNAcentral is "bacterial SSU rRNA". It matches the Rfam family "Bacterial small subunit ribosomal RNA", at positions 33 to 507 of the family's 1533-position model. The record is from RNAcentral.